ACGGAAAAAAUGACUCAUCAUGAUAUUUAUCUCGAAGAAGCUCCUCAGUUGUCAUUACCAUCAGGAAUCACUGCCUUUCUUUUAAAUUUUAGCUGCAUAACAAAAGGAUAUAUUUAGUGACAGGCAUUCAUGUAGUUCUAAAUCCAAACUAUUUUUUUCUAUAAGGAAAGAAAUCAAAAUGGAAUUAAACAAUUGAGAAACCAUGACAAGCAUAAGGUCAUUUUAUAAUAAUUUAGAAAGUGCAAAUACAAACGCUUCAAAUCUUUAUGUCAUAAAGGAUCACAAAGAUGUAUUUUAAAAUUUCUAAAUUGGACUUGCUACAGAUACAACAACAUAUUUAGAUGAAAAUACUAUAAAAGAUUGCAUGUAAUUCAUUUAUCUGUUGCGCCAGAAACUAACAUAUACUCCCUCCGUCCCAAAAUUCUUGUCUUAGAUUUGUCUAGAUACGGAUGUAUCAAGUCACGUUUUAGUAUUAGAUACAUCUGUAUCUAGACAAAUCUAAGAAAAGAAUUUUGGGACGAAGGGAGUAGUAGCAAAAACUUGAGGAACACCUUGAAAUAAGACAUUUAGGACGUCGUGAUGCAACCAACCCUACAACAACCAGCAGGACCUCUUUCAAGAUGUCGUCGAGCUAGCUGCAUCGGCUUCCGUCUCCCUUCUGGCACUUGAUGGUUCUCGUUACAAGAUUUUGCUCCUGCUUCUUGGUUCUCUGUAGCUUGGUCGGGGUUUGUAGGAUCUGCGAGAUUUCCACCUGAGAAGCUAAACUUGAAUUAAUUGCAUCAUACUGCCUACUAAAUGAAACAUGUGUUGGUUAUUGGUGCCCCUUGUUAAAAUAUCAAAAAUAUUACAGCAAGAAGUAAAUGCUGGUGAGUCUUCAACUUUGAUCGCCUUGUUCCAGCGAUGACUACGGUAGCCACGCUGUUGAGGAAGGAGAGGUAGCCAUCUUCAAGGUUGUUGGACUGCAAUAAAGAUCCAUGAAACAAAUGAAAGGCAAAUAUUGCAUCAUGAUUCUUAAAAUUAUUUUUAAAGUAGUGAUCUAAGCGCUCUUAUAUUUCUUUACAUAGGGUAUAUGUAUCAAAUAUCAGCAAAUAGUUGCAUGAGAAGUUUGGAAUCCCAUCAGAGGAAGUUUCAUUAAAUUUAUGUAAUCAAACAGCAAAACAUCUUGAGUUGGAUAGAAUUAGCAUUGCGAUUCAGAUAAUCUAAUCAGUGAAACAUAGUAGGUAGGGUAGAAUUGAUAGCACCAUUAGAUAGAAGAAUAUUGCAACUAUAAACUUAACCUGAUGUUGAGAAUUAGAAUUAAAAAAGUUGUCACGAAAUAUAAACUUAGUGAAUCCCUAUCUUACCACAGCCUGGAUGUGGGCAAAAAAAUCCUUUUGUUCUGUGUGAGUAAGAUGGUGCCCCUUCGACUUGAAGCUAUGUACAGAUUUCUUCAGAAUGAAUAGGAGCUGAUUCAUCCAUUGUACAAAAAGAAACAUUCAAAUAGUUAGGAACUAUAUUCACCCUUCAAAAUUAUAUCAUAGAUAUAACGGUUGUGUAGUUCACAAGUAACCGAUACAGGACACAACCGAAGGUCUUGGAUGUAAAGUUAUGCUGGAUCGAAUCACUGGGACUUAAAAAAUGUAAUUCCCCUUAAUAGUAACUUGCACGUGAGCUCAAGUUAACAUGCCCCAAUGAAAGUCAAGAAGGCUGGACUGGUUGAUGAAAACUAAUGGAAUUGUAGAAAAAACAAGGUAAAAACAAAUCAUUUUAGCUGGCACUGGGUGACCUAGCGUGAGUUUGCAAAAGCCGCAAUCUGAACAUGCAAGAAUGGACUUCUAUACUCUCCAAGAUUUCACAUUCAAGCUUGAUUCAUUUUGACACUAAUGUAUGUAAAAGCAUGAUUUCAGCAAGGUAAGGACUAUAGGCACACUGUCGUAAUAAAUUUAAAAGCCUACUGUCUAUUUAGCAUGAACUCAGACUGAAAUUCAGUUUACAUACCGGAUGCUUAUUCCUCUUAGUAUAUGUGUCGAAGCAACAAAACAUGUCCUGUCCAAUGUAGCACCAAAGUCCUGUGCUAUCAAAUAAAGGAAAUGACAUUGCUGUGUAGAUGAGAGGUUGUUGUAUGGCACAUUCAGUACAGAUAUUUGAAGAAAUAAGUGCUAGUCAUACGGAAAUUUUGUUUCUUUCAUGCAACUAUAUAGACGCCCCUACACAUAAUAGUAACCUGUAAAAAUAUGCAUCGACUAAAUACUACUCCCUGCGUCCCAAAAUAAGUGACUCAACUUUGUACUAAUGAGUCACUUAUUUAGGGACGGAGGGAGUACAUUACUUACCGUGGAAUCCAAAUCUGAACGGGCAUAUCAUACAUAAUUAUUUAAGUGUGUGCAAAGCAAUACAAAUUGGGAUGCACAGAGUCCUAGUUCCAGGGAGAAUGGUUGUUCCGAGCUCUGCUUCCACUUGGCGGGGAGUUUA
Molecule: long non-coding RNA, 2451 nt
Filed under: Triticum aestivum (bread wheat)
Lineage: Eukaryota; Viridiplantae; Streptophyta; Magnoliopsida; Poales; Poaceae
Description: long non-coding RNA (TAES_LNC007846)
Rfam family: MIR1120/MIR1122 microRNA precursor family (bases 399-533)
Source: RNAcentral